GAGAAUUCCUAGACCGAAAGAAAGAAUAAAACGUAUAAAAUAUAAAAAAAAAAUAUAAAAAAAAAAAAAAAUUAGAAUAAAAUUUUUAAAUUAAAAAAAUUGGGAACUAACGAAAAAGAACCCAAUUUUGUGGUAGGUUUCUUGCUGUUCGGUGUCUCCCAACUGCAUACUCAUCGAAUAUUCCUCAUCUUUUCCAUAUUGCUUUUUUCAUACGGUGUGCGGAAUGGAGAGUAUCCAAGCGCCCUGGCUAUCCUCCGGUAAAACCGUAUCGUGCAUUUCUCCGCGUAAUGGAUUUACAGAUAUGCACACUGAAGAUUAGACGCAUGAUACUUGCUAUUAUUCUUCUCCCUGUGCUCACAUCUUAUAACCAUUUCUCAACACUUAUCUCGAGAUAAGUCAUUUCAUUUCAGUUUUAUUUCUGAUGUAAAUAAAAUCAGCAGCAGUGGCAGUUCGUUAACUCAGCCGCUCCCCCAAUUUGCAUUAAAUAUAAUAGAUAGUUAUCCGAUAAUCUACACAACGACAG
Molecule: small RNA, 523 nt
Filed under: Histoplasma ohiense
Lineage: Eukaryota; Fungi; Ascomycota; Eurotiomycetes; Onygenales; Ajellomycetaceae
Description: hypothetical lncRNA
Source: RNAcentral